GUGGGGAAUAUUGCACAAUGGGGGAAACCCUGAUGCAGCGACGCCGCGUGGGCGACGAAGCGCUCCGGCGCGUAAAGCCCUGUCAGCAGGGAAGAAAAAAGACAGUACCUGACCAAGAAGCCCCGGCUAACUACGUGCCAGCAGCCGCGGUAAUACGUAGGGGGCAAGCGUUAUCCGGAUUCACUGGGCGUAAAGGGAGCGCAGGCGGCACGGCAAGUCUGGUGUGAAAGCCCGGGGCCCAACCCCGGGACUGCAUUGGAAACUGCCGGGCUGGAGUGCCGGAGGGGUAAGCGGAAUUCCUGGUGUAGCGGUGAAAUGCGCAGAUAUCAGGAAGAACACCGGUGGCGGAGGCGGCUUACUGGACGGCAACUGACGCUGAGGCUCGAAAGCGUGGGGAGCAAACAGG
This 406-nucleotide ribosomal RNA is filed under the name uncultured bacterium. RNAcentral's name for it is "bacterial SSU rRNA". It matches the Rfam family "Bacterial small subunit ribosomal RNA", at positions 354 to 776 of the family's 1533-position model. The record is from RNAcentral.